CCUACGGGUCGCACCAGUGGGGAAUAUUGCACAAUGGGCGCAAGCCUGAUGCAGCCAUACCGCGUGUACGAAGAAGGCCUUCGGGUUAUAAAGUACUUUCAGCGAGGAGGAAGGCAUUAAGGUCAAUAACCUUGGUGAUUGACGUUACUCGCAGAAGAAGCACCGGCUAACUCCGUGCCAGCAGCCGCAGUAAUACGGAGGGUGCAAGCGUUAAUCGGAAUUACUGGGCGUAAAGCGCACGCAGGCGGUCUGUCAAGUCGGAUGUGAAAUCCCCGGGCUCAACCUGGGAACUGCAUUCGAAACUGGCAGGCUAGAGCCUUGUAGAGGGGGGUAGAAUUCCAGGUGUAGCGGUGAAAUGCGUAGAGAUCUGGAGGAAUACCGGUGGCGAAGGCGGCCCCCUGGACAAAGACUGACGCUCAGGUGCGAAAGCGUGGGGAGCAAACAGGAUUAGAUACCCCUGUAGUC
RNAcentral lists this ribosomal RNA (465 nucleotides) under uncultured bacterium. RNAcentral describes it as "bacterial SSU rRNA". It matches the Rfam family "Bacterial small subunit ribosomal RNA", at positions 338 to 795 of the family's 1533-position model. The record is from RNAcentral.